This is a long non-coding RNA of Exaiptasia diaphana, 282 nucleotides long. RefSeq lists it as uncharacterized. The transcript is spliced from 3 exons. Lineage: Eukaryota; Metazoa; Cnidaria; Anthozoa; Actiniaria; Aiptasiidae. The record is from RefSeq and is a predicted model, not a curated record.
AGUAAUACCUGUGAAGGAUUUCCAUCAAUUGGAAGUAACCUGGAUGUUGCCAUGCCAACUACAGCACUAUAGAAUAAAACCAAUGCACUAUAUAUCCUGGUUGCUGGGACAUGAAGGUCCUGGAAGUGUCUUGUCAUURCUAAUCAAAAAGUCAUGGGCCGUUAGUCUUAUGUGCGGUAAUGGAGAAACAGGCAUUGAACACAGUACAAAUUAUGCAAUGUUUCCUGUCAUAGUCAUUCUCACAGUAAGUUAAUGGAGAAACAGGCAUUGAACACAGUACAA